GCGUUACCAUAGCAACCCUGCUGCAGAGUCUGUGAGAGGCUCUUGGCCUCUACCUGGUCUGUGGAAAAUCAAACUCUGGGCACAAGUCAUGAAGCCAGCACGUUGGGGAGACACCGUGUCACAAUGACAAGGAACCCUACAAGGCCUGUCAGGGAAGAUGGGGUAGAAUCCUGAGGAUGCUUACCCCACAGUGCUGAUGGGGAGGGACCACUAUCCCAUCCACUACUGCAACUCUGGAGACACAGCCCUCACAUCUCUCCUAUAUAACAUGAGGCCUAAUCUGCAGAGAAAGAGCAUCCAAACCUGAGCCAAAGGGCACUGGGGAAAAGCUCAUGGAACUGAGGGUGAAGGAACAAGGCCAACACCCGCAUUUCUGCACAGAUGCAUCUCCCAUAAAGAAAAGAAACCAUUAAUUUACAGGGCACUGUUCAAGGCCCACUUCAACUGGGAGUUAAGAGCAUGGAGAAGGAGCACGUUUCCCCUACCAUGGACAAGGAGGGACAGGAAUGUGCUCUUGUCCUGGCAUUGCAUGUACACGAUGGGCAGGAAACUCUUCAACGGUCAGUAACCCCACACCCCAGUUCACAGUGCUAAGUCUGAGGCUUCCUCAGAACAUUAGAGAUCUCCUCACUCCCUCACCACUGCCACCAGGCUAAGAAGCAUGGAGUCAAAACAGUGGAAUAUAGCUGGGCCAAGUGCAAGAAACCACGUGUGGGAAGAGGCACAAAGGGAAGGCACAGCAAACUCGGGAGAUAUUAGCAAAGUAUCAUGAGAGGGAUUUGAAUUUCCUGGUCCUCAGAAGGUUGUUACUGCCAUAACGACUUUUAACCCCAGCCUACCCUCUCAUCAACAUGACCACAAACCCCUAUACUAAGGCAGUUAUCUGAGAGAAAACUGCUCGUCAAUAACCUAAAAACUAUCCCCUUUCAAUGUCAGUGGGCUGAUGAAAAAAUAAAAAUAAUAAAAAAAAGAUUUACCCCAA
Gorilla gorilla gorilla (western lowland gorilla) is the source of this 982-nucleotide long non-coding RNA. RefSeq lists it as uncharacterized. The transcript has 2 exons. The record is from RefSeq and is a predicted model, not a curated record. NCBI's taxonomy places the organism in Eukaryota, Metazoa, Chordata, Mammalia, Primates, Hominidae.